RNAcentral lists this ribosomal RNA (172 nucleotides) under bacterium. Its description in RNAcentral is "partial 23S ribosomal RNA". It matches the Rfam family "Bacterial large subunit ribosomal RNA", at positions 2734 to 2925 of the family's 2925-position model. The record is from RNAcentral.
GGCAGCGCUGGGUAGCUACGUUCGGAAGAGAUAACCGCUGAAGGCAUAUAAGCGGGAAGCUCUCCCCAAGAUUAGAUUUCCCACCCUUCGGGGCUAAAGGUCCCUUGUAGACUACAAGGUUGAUAGGCUNNUUGAGCUAACCAGUACUAAUAGACCGUGAGGCUUGACCAUA